RNAcentral lists this long non-coding RNA (225 nucleotides) under Sorghum bicolor (sorghum). Its description in RNAcentral is "long non-coding RNA (SBIC_LNC005078)". Lineage: Eukaryota; Viridiplantae; Streptophyta; Magnoliopsida; Poales; Poaceae. The record is from RNAcentral.
GUGGGGAAGGCUGGUGGUGGGUUUAGAAGGAGCUUGGUGGGUGGUGGGAUUACUUGACAGCGAUGGUGACGAGGUGGAGGCGGGUUGGGGUUUACGUUUGUUGGAGGAAGGAGAAGGAACCAGGACAGGUUCCGGGAUUAUAGAAGAUUUAAUGGCAAACUCAUUUUCUUUAUUUAUGGAAGUGGAAGCUGGAGAGGCGUUGGUGUAGGAGUCCACAGCGUAGGC